Molecule: ribosomal RNA, 253 nt
Filed under: uncultured bacterium
Lineage: Bacteria
Description: partial 16S ribosomal RNA
Rfam family: Bacterial small subunit ribosomal RNA
Source: RNAcentral
UACGGAGGGUGCAAGCGUUGUCCGGAAUCACUGGGCGUAAAGGGCGCGUAGGCGGCUCAUGAAGGCUGUGGUGAAAGUCCGGGGCUCAACCUCGGAUCGGCCGUGGCGACUCGUGGGCUGGAGCACUGUAGAGGCGGGUGGAAUUUCGGGUGUAGCGGUGGAAUGCGUAGAGAUCCGGAAGAACACCAGUGGCGAAGGCGGCCCGCUGGGCAGUGGCUGACGCUGAGGCGCGAAAGCGUGGGGAGCAAACAGG